CUGGAGAUAAUACCUGAUAGAGGAUAAAUACUGGAAGGUUUUAUUCUUCAAAGCUUCGGCACCUGAGGACGGGACUGCGUCGGAUUAGCUUGUUGUCGGGAUAAUUACCCGACAAGGCGAUAAUCCGUACGGGUUGUGAGAGCAAUAGCCCGGAGAUGGAUUCUGAGACAUGAAUCCAGGUCCUACGGGACGCAGCAGGCGCGAAACCUUCACAAUGCCUGAAAGGGUGAUGAGGGAACUCUGAGUGACUUCGCAAUGCGAAGUCUUUUGCCAAGUGCAAAAAGCUCGGUGAAUAAGUGGUGGGCAAGACAGUUGCCAGCCGCCGCGGUAAUAACUGCGCCACGAGUGGUGAUCUCGUUUAUUGGGCUUAAAGCGUUCGUAGCCGGUUUUAUAAGCAUCUGGUGAAAUCCGAUAGUAAACUAUUGGGCUGGCUAGGUGUACUGUAAGACUAGGGACCGGUAGGGGCCGGGAGUACUCCUAGGGUAGGGGUUAAAUCCUUUAAUCCUAGGGGGACUACCAGUGGCGAAGGCGCCCGGCUAGAACGGGUCCGACGGUGAGGGACGAAAGCUGGGGGAGCGAUCCGGAUUAGAUACCCGGGUAGUCCCAGCUGUAAACGAUGCCCGCUUGGUGUGGUGAAACUUUCGUGGUUUUGCCGUACCGUAGCGAAA
This 668-nucleotide ribosomal RNA is filed under the name uncultured archaeon. RNAcentral describes it as "bacterial SSU rRNA". It matches the Rfam family "Archaeal small subunit ribosomal RNA", at positions 140 to 811 of the family's 1478-position model. The record is from RNAcentral.